RNAcentral lists this long non-coding RNA (507 nucleotides) under Citrus x clementina. Its description in RNAcentral is "Citrus clementina (C. clementina) long non-coding RNA (CCLE_LNC003883)". Lineage: Eukaryota; Viridiplantae; Streptophyta; Magnoliopsida; Sapindales; Rutaceae. The record is from RNAcentral.
AAAAAUUUAUCAAAUACCAAAUUAAAUUUUAACUUGUUAAAAGUACUUUUGAAACUCUCAAAAACAAUCUCAAACCAACCGGGUCAUACAACUGGGACGGGUUCAGUUCCGGUUUUAGAUCAAACUCCACCGGUCCGUUAUCAUCACGUCGUACACACGUGCCUCCCUGGUAUACGCUCGGGCACAUCACGUGACUCACGACACGUGUGCAUUCGCUAGUGUCAGUUACGAAAGUAUGAUACCACUCCCUGAUAACUCUGCCAUUCUACUACGAAGCUGACAAAAAACGACAGGGAGCAGGUUGGAAGGGCGCAUGUGGGACCCACCGGCACCAAAAGAAAAGAAAAUAAAAAACGGAUAGCGCACUGGUCCACACGUCCGAACAAAAUGCCACUAUAUCUCCACUUAAUUACUGUUUUUGCCUUACUCGAUUAGAGGGGCCAUUAUUUGUGUCUUUUUAUUUGUCUUUGGAUGAAAAAAAAGGGUAAAAGUUUGUUUAGUCCCUAU